UACGUAGGGUUCGAGCGUUAAUCGGAAUUACUGGGCGCAAAGCGUUCGUAGGCGGUUCGCUGUGUCCGAUGUGAAAGCCCCGGGCUUAACCUGGGAAUGGCAUUGGAAACUGGCGGGCUUGAGUGCGGCAGAGGGGGGUGGAAUUCCGCGUGUAGCAGUGAAAUGCGUAGAGAUGCGGAGGAACACCGAUGGCGAAGGCAGCCCCCUGGGUCGCCACUGACGCUCAGGCACGAAAGCGUGGGGAGCAAACAGG
This 253-nucleotide ribosomal RNA is filed under the name uncultured bacterium. RNAcentral's name for it is "partial 16S ribosomal RNA". It matches the Rfam family "Bacterial small subunit ribosomal RNA", at positions 524 to 776 of the family's 1533-position model. The record is from RNAcentral.